Molecule: long non-coding RNA, 547 nt
Organism: Oncorhynchus keta (chum salmon)
Lineage: Eukaryota; Metazoa; Chordata; Actinopteri; Salmoniformes; Salmonidae
Exons: 4
Source: RefSeq, a predicted model, not a curated record
CUGUAAUCGCUGGCAGAGGUGCUUCAACAAAGUACAGAGUAAAGGGUCUGAAUACUGAUGUAAAUGUGAUAUUAACGUUUUUUAUAUUUAAUACAUUUCCUAAAAUUACAAAAAAACUGUUUUUGUUUAGUCAUUACGGGGUAGAUUGAGGUGAUUGAUGUGGAAAAAACUGUUUUUGUUUAGUCAUUACGGGGUAGAUUGAGGUGAUUGAUGUGGGAAAAAACUGUUUUUGUUUAGUCAUUACGGGGUAGAUUGAGGUGAUUGAUGUGGAAAAAACUGUUUUUGGUUAGUCAUUACGGGGUAGAUUGAGGUGAUUGAUGUGGAAAAAACUGUUUUUGGUUAGUCAUUACGGGGUAGAUUGAGGUGAUUGAUGUGGAAAAAACUGUUUUUGUUUAGUCAUUACGGGGUAGAUUGAGGUGAUUGAUGUGGAAAAAACUGUUUUUGGUUAGUCAUUACGGGGUAGAUUGAGGUGAUUGAUGUGGAAAAAACGAUUUCAUCAAUUUUAGAAUGGACUGUAUGUUCCACCCUACGCCCCAUACCAGAUGGG